CUGAUCCAGCCAUGCCGCGUGUGUGAAGAAGGUCUUCGGAUUGUAAAGCACUUUAAGUUGGGAGGAAGGGCUGCUGGUUAAUACCCUGCAAUUUUGACGUUACCAACAGAAUAAGCACCGGCUACUUCGUGCCAGCAGCCGCGGUAAUA
This 149-nucleotide ribosomal RNA is filed under the name uncultured soil bacterium. Its description in RNAcentral is "partial 16S ribosomal RNA". It matches the Rfam family "Bacterial small subunit ribosomal RNA", at positions 383 to 525 of the family's 1533-position model. The record is from RNAcentral.